UACGUAGGGUGCAAGCGUUGUCCGGAAUUAUUGGGCGUAAAGAGCUCGUAGGCGGUUCGUCGCGUCGGCUGUGAAAACCCGGAGCUCAACUCCGGGCCUGCAGUCGAUACGGGCGGACUUGAGUGUUGCAGGGGAGACUGGAAUUCCUGGUGUAGCGGUGAAAUGCGUAGAUAUCAAGAGGAACACCUGAGGUGAAGACGGGUUGCUGGGCUGACACUGACGCUGAGGCGCGAAAGCGUGGGGAGCGAACAGG
RNAcentral lists this ribosomal RNA (253 nucleotides) under uncultured bacterium. RNAcentral's name for it is "partial 16S ribosomal RNA". It matches the Rfam family "Bacterial small subunit ribosomal RNA", at positions 524 to 776 of the family's 1533-position model. The record is from RNAcentral.